Long non-coding RNA from Onychostruthus taczanowskii (white-rumped snowfinch), 1112 nucleotides. RefSeq lists it as uncharacterized. The transcript is spliced from 4 exons. NCBI's taxonomy places the organism in Eukaryota, Metazoa, Chordata, Aves, Passeriformes, Passeridae. The record is from RefSeq and is a predicted model, not a curated record.
AUUUAUGGUGGGCAGCUGAACUGCCCCGGCAUUGUCAGGACUCACUCAGGCUUUACCUUGGGUAGGCGGAACUGCAGGGAUUCCUGAAAGCAAUUUAGGGGCUAUUCUCAGUAAUAGGAAACUACUGAUAUCUGCCUUUGCAGAUGUCCGCAGCUGACGUCAGGAAUUUCAGACACCAUUGUGCAAGUUUUGUUCUAACCUGUAAAACUUGUUGCAGUGAUGAUUAGGGAUAUGACAACUUUCAGAAAAAUUCAUAGACCGCAGAGUUUUGGACCUGAAUUUGAAAAUAUUUGUGUGUCUGGAGAUUGUUGAAAAUUGUUACUUGAAUGACACGUUCAAGAUUUGCAUGCUUCAGCUGGAGCUGCUGAUGGAUUUGAGCACAGCUUUGCCAGAAACUGAACCAAAAAAAAUGUGAAGAGGAGGCUGUAAGAUGCAAACAAGAAAUGGAGGACCCACAGAAAAGUAUCUGUGUAGAAUAAUACGGGACCAGACUGGAUCUGAAGAUGUGGGAAGAUGGAAAUGAAAUGCAUCUUAGGACAACCUGGUGAGAUCAGAGUUCUAGCUUGUGGUUGCCUCACUUGUACACCUUGAGUACCUCUAAUGUGUAUACACAGAACAAGGCUAUCUUAGCUUCACUCAGUGGGAGAAACACAGUGUUUCUGUCCUUUACAUUAAUCCUUCUGUACUUUGAUGUAAAUACUAAUUUUCCAUGAAGGAUAUUCUUUUUCUCAUUUUUGUAUUGCUCUCUGCCACAUACAGCAACCACUGAAUUUGGGCUCACUGUUUUUCUUACAGAAGUACUGCUCUCAAUGUUUUUUAUUUGGCCAUAUGAUGCUAUUGCUGCCACUGCACUAAAACUUGCUGUCCUUGUAGGAAGGUUAAUCUUGUCUAAUGCAAGACUUUGGACUUCAGAUAUGUUAUUUUCCCUCAUUGUUUUACUCUUAUUGAACAUCAGCAUAAGGUGUACAUUCAUAGUUCAUGAACAUUAACCCUACACAUUUCUUUUCACAUGGCCAACCAUUCUGAAAGUGUAUUUCAUGCAGAGACUAAUGAAAACACUCGUUCUUCUACUUCUUUCCCAAAUUUAUAUCAAUAAGUGAAAUUCAAUUUUA